GUUAAUGUGCUGCUAUGACUGACUUAUUGAUUGAGAUAGGGUCUCGCUGCCCUUUUUUUACCCAAGCUGACCUUGAACCACAGUCUUCUCAUUUCUGGGAGUGUAGGUGUGUGCCUCCAUAGCCUGCAUGUGUGUGCUUUGAAAUGGGAUCUCCCAGUGCUGCCCAGCCUGAUCAUGAGCUCCUGCGUUCAAGUAGUCCUCCUGCCUCAGCCUCCUGAAGCUGUGUGCCAUCAUCAUUCCCAGUGCAUGACCAUUUCAUAGCUGAUGAUACGUUCUUCCAUCAGGAGUUAUAAUGAGUGGUUGUCUCUCCCAGUGGUGUUACCCGUCUUUGGUGAUUGAUCAAUUUCUUUGGAAUUUUGAAAAAGGUGAUUGUUCUUUUCUUUUAUCUGUUUUGAGACAGGGUUUUGCUGUGUAGCCCAGACUGCCCUUGAACUCGAGAUAUUUCUGCCUCAGCUUCCCAAGUGCCGGUGUGCAUCACCACGCCAAGCUAAGAAAAAGGAAACUGUUUCUUAAAAUUGUUUACAUUUAGGCAUCAGGUGCCUGUUGAUGACACUGUUUUUAAAUUCAAAUGUCCUAUUAAUGGUUUUUGAAAGAAAAUUAAGCCAAUGGCAAACUUAUUGGUGUCCAUUUUACCCGUGGUUUAAACAGGACUGGCUACCUCCUCUGCAGGUUUCUUUGCCUACUGCUGAGCAUGAAAGCCAGAAGUUUUGAUGCAUGGCAUCAAACAUUCAGGAAAGGACAUCGUGCUACUCUCCUUAUCUCACUGUCUGUGGGAAGGAAUGGACAUCCAGAGCAUCGGCAAGUGAACAAAUGUCCAGGACAGCAAAGGCUACAACUCCAAAGACUCAUGCCAGCAAUCAGGAAGUAAUCAAACCCAAGUUCACCAUUGGUCCAAACAUUAUGCCUCGGCAUGUACAAAGGCUGAAGCUCAUGCUCAAAGGCUUUCCUUUAAAAGCCUUUCUUCCUCCCCUAGUACUAAGACUAUAGUUUCAUUUUGAGCAGCAGAUCACACAGUCCUCAUUUUGUCUGGCGUAAUUAAUAAACCUUUACUUCUUUUUCUCCAAAAAUAUCAUUCUCACUAUCUGAGAAUUGAUUUUGAAUUCAGGAGACCAAAUUUUCAGUAACAAAUUUGGCACCGAAAGUGGGACUCUGGGAAAGGUUCUCAACCUGAACCUCUAGAUACUGGGGGAAUAGAAAUUUGUAGGAAAUCAUUCCCUACAUCAAACUCUGGGACAGGUCCAGUGGAGAUAUUGUCUUAAAAGAAGAGGGGGAGAGUAAGGGACUAUCCCAACAACUGCCAGAGCCAGAUUUUGCUCUGGGGAACUCUGUUUUCUCUUGUGUGGAUUGUGUAGACAUAGUUCUUGCUGCUGGAAUGAUGUUGGAGAAAAGAAAAAAGUGUCUGAAAGAAGUUGUAACACCUUGGCUAAGCUUGGGUGAGACCCCUGCAUUAUACUCAUUUGGGGAGGUCCCCAUGUGGAUCUUCAGGCCCCAAAUGAGUCAUUCUUUUGUGGUGUGGUUGGAUAGAGGUCACAGGUUUAGCAGAACUAGGAAACCUAGGGGAUUCAUUCCCAUCUGUUGCCUUCCUAAUUUGGUGGAAUGUUCAUGUUUGUUGGCCUUGGUUUUGGGGAAAUUUCCUUUUCUUUGUGUGCUUUGUGUUCUGGGUUGUGUUUAUUAUGGGAGAUGCUGUUUCUAUUCCAUCUGAAAGGACUCUUGGAUAAAUCUUAGCAGAGCAAUCUACUUAUAUUUAUAAGCCUAUGACAAUUUUGUUGCAUCAUAGCCUGGCCUAUGUAUAUAUUAGGAAAUGAGUACAGAUAGUCUUUGAAUGAAACCUUGAAUUUCAUGAUUUUGCCAUUGGAGUCAUUUUGUUUGUAAGCAGGUAAAUAGGAUGAAAUUCCAUGUGUGCAGGUAAUUAUGCAGGUAUACAGCUAGGAGUCUGAACAGCCAGUAACUGAGUUGAUGGUACAAGGAAAUUCAAAGCUUCCCAUGGUCAAGGACUGCUAUGCCCCAGAAGAAAAGGUCAGAGAAGACCUAAUUGAUUUGAGUGUAAUGAAUCUCUUUAACCUGAGUUAUCCUGAAGGCUCUGCCACUCUACCUUUUCCUGUAGCUGCUCAGGAGUUGGUGGCCUGCUUCCUUUUGAGGGAGUAAGGGGAACAAAGGGAGGUGUAACUCAGCUGACCCAAACCACUCUGAGUUAUAAGUCAGGGACAAGGAUGGUCUCCCCUUCUGAGACCUAACAGAGCACAUUAUUUGGACAGGUGGCCCCUAUUACUGGAGCAGGACAAUUUCCUCUAAGGCAGUACUUAAUAGAAACAAAUGCCCAAGGAGAGCAGGGUGGGCAUUACUGGGCCUAUCAUCACUUUUCAACCUCAGACUUAUUAAACUGGAAAAAUUCAAACUUGCACUAUAGUGAGGGAUCCCCAGAAAAUGACUAAAUUAUUUACCUACUGCCCUACCUGGGCAGAUUAAGAAAGCUUGUUGAAAUCUUGCUCAUGACCAGUGGGUGCUAAAUUUUGAUGGACAAAGCAAAAGAUGAGACACAAGGCCUCUAUAAUGAGUAUCCUAACCAAGUCUGUGUAUGUGACCAGGUCAUACCAGUAGUGGAACCAAAUUGGGACCCAAUUACAGGUGCAGAAAAUUCCAAGAUAAAUAAUUAUCUGAGGUGCAGCCUUAUAGGACUCCACAGGGAAGUACCCAAGUAGAGGAGCCUAAAUAUGAUCCAACAGAAGAGUUGCAACAAAAGGCCCCUCUGAAUUUUUAGAAUGGGUUUACCAGGCUUAGAGGAAAUGUACAGACUCCUACCAAGAGUCACCUGAGAACCUACAUGUGGUUUAUAUGACUGUUAUUGGACAGAGUGCUCCUGACAUCAGAAGGAAAUUACAACAGGUAGAGGAACAAUUGGAAUGAAUCCCAAAUAACUUGUUGAUGUUGCUUACAAGGUUUGUAAUGCUAGGGAGGAACAGAAAUUGAAACCAAGUCAUGUAUUUUAUGUAGCCCAAAACAAAGGGAGUCCCCAAGAGAGAAAAGAUGACAAGGACUGACCCAAAUUGGGGGAAAACAAAUGUGCCUGUUGCAAAGGACAUUGCAGAAAAAAAUGCCCAAAGCUGCAAAAGAAACCUGAGAACAAUGGCCUUUAGAGAGUCCAGUGACUUGGAGGGCCGGAGACUCAGAUGAUGAAAGGGGAUUUCACAAGUGGAACAGCACUUAAAAUGGAAACAAAAUUCUCAUGGACUUAAACUUUUGCCUGAGGCACUUGUGUAGAACAUCUACAUGAAAGUACUUAUUACAGCCCUGAUGCAUUGGUAGGAUUCAUCUGACCUUAUUUUGGGGGUGGGGGAGUGAUUCUGGUUAAAAAGAUUGACGCAAUAGGUCACUCAAGAAUGGUCCCUUAUGUGUUCAGAAUAACCCUAAGACAUAAAGAAAACCUUUGGAGUAGAGAAUCUGGUACACAGGAGAACAUCCCUUAAGACUGGCAAGUGGAUUUCUCUUAGAUGCCAAAGACUAUUGAAAAUUUUAAAUAUCUGUUAGUGCUAGUUGAUACUUUUUCUGGAUGGGUUGAGACCUACCCCACCCAAAUGAAAAAGCUUUGGAGAUGACAAAGAUUUUUCUAAAAGAGAUCAUUUCUGUCUUCAAUUCAGAGUGACAACAGACAUUCCUUCAUGGCAGUAAUUACCCAGCAAGUCACUUCCUCAGCUGGAGAUACCAUUUCAUCCCUUCAGGAUGGGAGUUCAAGUACUUCUGAAACUUGGAACAAGCAAGGCCCCUGAACAACAAGUGGAAUUAAAAUGGAAAGAGCCUUAUGAUGUGCUUCUGAUGUCUCAUACCUCUUUGUAGUUAGCUGGAGUUUAGUCAUGGGUGCAUGGCACGAGAGUGAAGAAAUGCCCAGCAGAGGCAACUCCACUACAACUAAAAAACCAGUGGGAAAGCCAGCCACUGGAAGACAUAAGACUCCUGUUCAGAAAAAAUGCAAAAUGAAUGUCCCUUUGAAUCUACUAAGUUGCUUUUGUCUUUGUAUCCCCUUUGCAGGAUGGAAGGAAAACUGGUUGGUUCAUAUUGCUCAAAUACUGACUUCUUUAUGGGUGCUCCCAAGACUCCCUGGCAAAGGUUGUGUUGGGUUCAGAUGGCUCUGGAGUACAUGUUAGCUGAGCAAGGGGGUAUGUGUGCUAUUGCUAAUAUGCUCUGUCAUACUUAUAUCAGUAUUCUUUUCAGGUAGAAAUUAAUGUAAAAAAGAUUAGACAAAACUUCUUCAUUACAAUAAGCCUGAGAGGUUCACUCUCUCUUUUUUGAUGGUAUAGAGGCUGAAUUGGCAGACUAUUUUUCUAGAUUGUUUUCCUGGAUUCCUAAUGGUGUCACAUCUGUCUUAUUAGGUAUCUAUCUCCAUUUUGGCAUGACCAUCAUGUUGAUUACAGGAUCAGUAUACCUUCUUAUUUACUUAGCACUUUGCUGCAUAUCCUACCCAUAAAAACUAGUGUUAGAGGCCUAACACUCACCAGGCUGACUGACAAAGACAGAUACAUACCUUCCAUCAGGAGAAUCCCACUAAUCACCCAAUUUUAGCAGGAAGUAGCCAGAUGAGUAUGCCACUCCUUUUUCCAUGGAAGGAAAUGCAAUGGAAAAAUUAACAGUGGGGACAAUGUAAUAGGAAUAGACACCUAAAUAUGUGACUUCUCUUGUUAGUGGUUCUUACUACUAUUCUGGCUGUGAUAAAGUGAGAAAGGCUGAGUUGCUAAUGAUUUCUAUGAACACUGAGCUGGCAUUUGGUAGGGAAUCUAUGGUGAGAGAGACUUAGAUAGCUCUAUCUGGGGCCUUUUUUUUUUUU
Molecule: non-coding RNA, 4816 nt
Organism: Castor canadensis (American beaver)
Lineage: Eukaryota; Metazoa; Chordata; Mammalia; Rodentia; Castoridae
Source: RefSeq, a predicted model, not a curated record